RNAcentral lists this ribosomal RNA (465 nucleotides) under uncultured bacterium. RNAcentral's name for it is "partial 16S ribosomal RNA". It matches the Rfam family "Bacterial small subunit ribosomal RNA", at positions 338 to 795 of the family's 1533-position model. The record is from RNAcentral.
CCUACGGGAGGCAGCAGUAGGGAAUCUUCCACAAUGGGCGAAAGCCUGAUGGAGCAACGCCGCGUGGGUGAAGAAGGUCUUCGGAUCGUAAACCCCUGUUGCUAGAGAAGAAAGUGCGUGAGAGUAACUGUUCACGUUUCGACGGUAUCUAACCAGAAAGCCACGGCUAACUACGUGCCAGCAGCCGCGGUAAUACGUAGGUGGCAAGCGUUAUCCGGAUUUAUUGGGCGUAAAGGGAACGCAGGCGGUCUUUUAAGUCUGAUGUGAAAGCCUCCGGCUUAACCGGAGUAGUGCAUUGGAAACUGGGAGACUUGAGUGCAGAAGAGGAGAGUGGAACUCCAUGUGUAGCGGUGAAAUGCGUAGAUAUAUGGAAGAACACCAGUGGCGAAAGCGGCUCUCUGGUCUGUAACUGACGCUGAGGUUCGAAAGCGUGGGUAGCAAACAGGAUUAGAUACCCGAGUAGUC